Molecule: long non-coding RNA, 10253 nt
Filed under: Homo sapiens (human)
Lineage: Eukaryota; Metazoa; Chordata; Mammalia; Primates; Hominidae
Description: HSALNT0209383
Source: RNAcentral
ACCUCAGCCUCCCAAAGUGCUAAAAUUACAGGCGUGAGCCACCACGCCCAGCCAAUAUAAUUUUUUUUAAGUGUAAAAAGCCCACUGUGGUAGCAUGAGCCUGUAAUUCGAGCUACUCCGGAGGCCGAGGCAGGAGAAUCGCUUCAGUCCAGGAGUUCAAGGCUACGGUGAGCCACAAUCAUGCCACUGCACUCCAGCCUGUGUAAGAGUGAGACUGUCUGAAAAAAAAUUUUUUUAUAUAUAUGCAUAUGGUUAUACAUAUGCAAAAGGGUUAACAAUGGCUGCCUCUAAGUGGUAAGAUACAGGUAAAAUUUUUUCCUGCUUUACACUUUGUUCUACUUUUCUAUAUGUAACCAUAUAAUUCAUUAUUCUUCAAUUUUUUCUCCUUCCUGAAAUCUUUACUUCUCCCGUCAUUCUAAAAGUACUUAAACUGUUAUAUGUCUAUUUCCUGGUUAGCACAUCUAUCUGUGUAGGUUAUCUCUAUUAGUUUGAUCUCCAAAAAUUGGGGGCAAUUCCAUUUAGAUUGUUUCCUUUGUACAUCUCUAUAGAACAACUUUUUAAAAAGGUAUCUACGGAAAUAAAGCAAGAGAAACUAAUCAUACCUUAACUUAAAUGAGAUCUACAGAAAUAGCAUGCAUAUGCCAAGUUAUAUGGCUCUUAAUUCAGUACAAAGAAGAUCCUUUUGAACUAAAGUUUAGUUCAGGAAAUAAUCGGUGUAUAUCAUCAAAAAUACAAAGUAAAAAGCAGUUAUCCUUAUAAGCUAGAAGGCAGAUAUCCUAAGAAUUCAGAGAAAGGGAAGGGAAGAAUUCAGAAGGUAAAAAAAGAUUUUUAAAAAUACUAUUAGAACUUUUUUGGGGGGAAGUAAUGUUAACAGGUAGGUCUUAGCCAGACACGAUGGCUCAUGCCUGUAAUCCCAGCACUUCGGCAGGCUGAGGCAGGAGGAUCACUUGAAGCCAGGAGUUCGAGACCAGACUGCGCAACAAAGCGAGACCCUGUCUCCACCAAAAAUUGAAGAAAAAAAUUAGCCAGGGGGCGCACAUCUAUAGUCCUUGCUACUCAGGAGGCUGAGGUGGGAAGAGCACCUGAACCCAGGAGUUCAAGGCUGCAGUGAGCUAUAAUUACACCACUGCACUCCAGCCUGAGUGACAGAGCACAACCCUGUUUCUUAAAAAAGUUCUAGUUCAGGCACGGUGGCUCACAUCUAUAAUCCCACCACUUUGGAAGAUUGAGGCAGGAGAAAUGCUUAAGCCCAAGAGCUCAAGACCAGCCUGGGUGACACGGCAAAACCCAGUCUCUACUAAAAACGGAAAAAUUAGCCAGGUCCACGUGGUGGCACAUGCCUGUAGUCCUAGCUACUCAGGAGGCUGAGGCAGGAGGAGCACUUCAGCCCGUGAGGCCGAGGUUGCAGUGAGCCAAGAUCGCACCAUUGCACUCUAGCCUGGGUGACAGAGUAAAACAAUAUCUCAAAAAAAAAAAAAAAGAAAAAAGUUCUAACUUUUUCCUAUAGAAACAAACAUAUCUAUAAUAUUUAGCUUCUCAAACCAGUACAUAGUUAGCACAUAGUGUACAUUGGUAUACUUUUUUCCUCUUUUUUAAAAUUGAUAUAUAACAGUUAUACAUAUUAAUACCUGUAUACAAUGUGUAAUGAUCAAAUCGGGGUAACUGGGAUAUCCAUCACAUGAAGUAUACUUCUAAUAACUUAAACAAUACUUAGUAUUGCUUGAGAAAAUUAUACUUCAAAUCUAAACAUCUUAUACUUUAGUCUGUAAGCCAGUGCUAGUAGAAAUAGAAUGGUUAGUCACAUGUAUAAUUUUAAAUUUUCUAGUGGUCACAUUUAAAAAUUUUAAAAUAAAAAUAACCCAAUAUAUCACAAAAUAAUUUCAUUUCAAUACGUAAUAAACAUUUUAAAAAUUAAGAUACUUUACUUACAUUCUUCUUUAAAAAAAAAAAAAAUCCGCCGGGCAUGGUGGCUCACGCCUAUAAUCCCAGCACUUUGGGAGGCCGAGGCAGGCAGAUCGCGAGGUCAGGAGAUCGAGCACAUGCUGGCUAACACAGUGAAACCCCAUCUCUACUAAAAAUACAAAUAAUUAGCCAGGCGUGGUGGCACGCGCCUGUAGUCCCAGCUAUUGGGGAGGCUGAGGCAGGAAAAUCACCUGAACCCGGAAGGUGGAGGUUGCAGUGAGCUGAGAUUGUGCCACUGCACUCCAGCCAGGGCAACAGAGCGAGACUCUGUCUCAAACAAAAAAAAGAAAAAAAAAAUCCAAUGUAUAUUUUACAUUUAUGUCUAUCUUAAUUCGGACUAAUCACAUUUCAAGUACUUAAUAACCCAUCUGGCCAAGUAAUGGCUCCUGUUCUGGACAGCACAGCUCUAGCCACAGCAGCUAAGUGCCUGAGGUAUUGAGUAGGUCACGCAUGGGAUAUUUCAUGCCAUGGCAGGGGGACAGCUAAACGCAGUGAAGUGCAACAAACACGAUUUAGACUUAACACUGCCUAAAAAUACCAAGAACAGCAAUGGCACAAAUGCCACAACCAGUGAUGUAUAGCUGCCCUUUUAUAUCCCAAGGUUUCUACUAUCUCCUACAAAAUGUUUGUGCCAUUUGUUUCCUUUGUGUCUAUUUACUCUACAAAGUUAUUGUUACAUUAUAGCUUCACUGUUCACAAAGACUUACCCUAAGGAGGCAGGACAUGCUACCACAGUGGCCAAUUUAAGGGAGAAAAGUCCAAGGGUCAUCUCUCCCCUACUCAUAACCCCCUAACAGCACAGCACCAUCUCUAACAUUACACACCUUCACUUUCUCCCACUUCUGUAAUUCUGCUCACACUUUACCCAUUUAUCAUACACAUUUAAAUGUGCAGAAUUUGUUAAUACUGAAUUCUAGGGGGUUGGUUACAAUGCCUCUUCAAUUUCUACAUUAUUAAGAAUGUAACUAACGAAACUUACAAGAAAUACAUUUUACUACUAUAAGCAAAAAUGAUAACAUACAAAGUAUUUUUAUAUGAAUGUAAAUUUAGGCUAAUACAGGUUAUUAAUGUCAGAUUUAUGACUGCGCUCUUUCAAUCAUCCUCUUCACUAAAGGUGGGCAUCCUACUGGCACAGAGACCAAACCCUGCCCUCCACCUGUUUUUGUAGAUUUUUUGGGGAACACAACUAUACCUGUAUUUUUAGGUGUUGUCAAUAACUGCUUUCUCACUACAUUUGCACAGUUGGAUAGGUACAAGAGACCCUAUGGCCAAGCAAAGCCUGAAAUACUGAUUAUCUGGCCCUUUGCGGAAAAAAUUUGAUGACCCCUCCUCUUUACCAUUAUUUCAUAAGGAAAAGUUGCUGAGUUACAAGGGACUUUCUUAAGAACGCACCUGUAAUAUGAAGUCAACCAACACUCUGGCGAACAAACUGAGGAACAAAGUGCAACAUACUAUUAAUUUGUUGGGUAUUGGGAAAACUAAAAAACUAAAAACCUAGUAGGGGAAGAUUAAAUUGUGACAUAAAAAUCAGAAACUAGGCCGGGUGCCGUGACUCACGCCUGUAAUCCCAGCACUUUGGGAGGCCGAGGCGGGUGGAUCACAAGUCAGGAGGUCAAGACCAGCAUAGCCAAGAUGGUGAAACUCCGUCUCUAGUAAAAAUUCAAAAAUUAGCUGGGCACGGUGUCAGGAGCCUGUAAUCCUAGCUACUCGGGACGCUGAGGUGGGAGAAUCGCUUGAACCAGGGUGGCAGAGGUUGCAGUGAGCCGAGAUGGAGCCACUGCACUCCAGCCUGGGCGACACAGUGAGACUCCGUCUCAAAAAAAAACAGAAACAAAGUACAAUUCAGAUAAAAACAAAGUGUACUCUACUUAGGGGCCAAAACACACUCAUUCUCUCUAUGUAUGUAAGUAUGUAUGUGUGUGUGUGUGUGUGUGUGUGUGUGUAUAAUACAUGUAUAUAUAUACAUAAUAUAUACGUAUAUAUUAUAUAUGUAUAUAUAUACUCGAUCUCGGGAGAUCGAGACCAUCCUGGCUAACACGGUGAAACCUCGUCUCUACUAAAAAUACAAAAAAAUUAGCCAGGCUUGGUGGCAUAUGCCUGUAGUCCCAGCUGCUCGGGAGGCUGAGGCAGGAGAAUGGCAUGAACCCGGGAGGCGGAGUUUGCAGUGAGCCGAGAUCUCAUGACUGCACUCUAGCCUGGGUGGUAGGGCCAGACUCCGUCUCAAAAUAAAUAAAUAAAUAAAUAACAUAACAUAACAUAAAAUCAGAUAAUUCUUAGCAAAUGCCCCUAAAAUGUAAGUGCACUCAAUAAAUAUUAUCAAUUCUUAUUGUUCAGGUACCACAUGUGCAGAGAGAUCCUAGAAGAAUAACCAGUAUGGUAGAGAAACAAUGUCAGAAAAACUCAUGUUUUCAAGAGAGAAAGUUAGACAUUUGGAAGGGGAGCAGAAAGAGACAGAACUAUCUCAAACAUCUGAAGAUAUUUCUUCUUGUCAGCUCCUGAGGGCAAGUGUAGGAAACAACAGAAAUUCUAGGAAGAAAGAGUUUUUGAAUCAUUGUUAUAGGUAGUAUGGGGCAAACAACAAGGCAGGUCCACAAGUUCUUAGGAUGGUUUUCAUUGUGUUUUGAUGGAUAACAUAUAUUAGACUAUCAGUGAACACACAAAAUCCAAUCAGGAUGACCCAACUAUAAAAUUGUAGCAACUGCUUGUGGUAGACUGUUUGCAAAGAGGUCUAAAGGUGUGCAGGCUCCUUUGAAAUAUGACAUUCAUGCUCUUCUCACCAAGAGCUGGAGUCUAUUUCAUGACCUCUUGAAUCUGGGCUGACCUUGUAAUCUGUUUUGACCAAAAUAAUAAAGAAAUGAUAUUGAGUGACUUCCAUUCUCACCCUCUUGAAACUCUAAGACCACCAUGUGAAACAGCCUCUUUCUGAGGUUGAAAGACCACACGGUAACUAAAACCAUCCCAGCUGAGUUCCCAGACCUGUGACUGAGGCUCUUACUCCAACCUGCCUCAGCCUAGCCUCCAGCUGACUGCAGCUAAGUGAGUGAGCCCAGAGGAAACCAGCAGAAAACAAAUUGGCAAUCCACAGAAUAGUGAGCAAAUAAAAUGGGUUGUUAUUUUGAGCCACCAAGUUUUGGGGUAGGUUGUUACUACAACCUACAAUAUUGCAGUAACUGAUCAAUGUAUUGUCUGAAGAAAAAAUGUAUUUAAAACAUCUGAAACUAAGUACGUGUCUGCUAAGUAGACAAAAGAUAAAAUUCAAAAAGUAAAGCAUUUAGGAAUCUCUGCUAUACCAUCCAGGAAAAAAGGACUCAUGGAUCCAAGUAUCAGGACAAUACGGCAGGCUUAUUCCUUAAAAAGGAGCUAAACAUCUCAUUUAAAGACACUAGCUAAGAAAAUUAUCCAACUUCCUUUGAAAACCCCAUGCUCACCAAAUAGCCUUUGAUUAUAACUAGAUUUCACACAUAACUGACCAUUAGUAUAGGAAUUGGUCAGUAUGAAAGACAUUCUUCCCUACUAUAAAUUGAUGAUGUUCUGAUAUGUCCAUUGAAUACCUAGAGCUUAAUCACUUGGGGUAUAGUAAAAAGCCAAAUGUCUAAGCAGACAGUACAGAGUGGUAUCUACACAAAGAUCUAGGCAGCCAGUUUAAAUUCCAGGCAAUGCCCCUAUUUUCUUAAUGCAUACUUCAACAGAUAUCAGGAAGAAUUUUCCAUAAUAAGCACUAUGUGAUAAACAGUAAAAAGAGCAUAAAUGCUAGAAUAAUUGAUGUUAGAGUCUAGCAUUAUCAGUUACUAGAAAAAUAAUUUUGGACACCGUAAUCUUGGAUUUACUCCCCACCCCAACUUGUUUCCUCACCUGUAAAAGGAGGCUGUUGAAAGGACUGACUUAUUAACAAGGGAGAGCAGAUGAACAAUGAAAACAGGAUGCCUUGUAAGCUAGUUAAACCUCUUCCAAUGAAAAGCCAGUGUGAAACAUAAUUUGGACCACCUGUUAGUGAUGUUGUGGAAGAGAGUUAUACAUUUUAUAUUGAAGGCUGAACUCACUCAAAGAUGGGAAAUAUAUUCCAAGUGUCUACAUGGCUAAAAAAAAAGUUAUUUUAUUUAUGAGAUUAAGUCACUAGGUAAUACAACAAAUCAUUUUCCUAUCCCACAAGUCAAGAAAUUCUGUAUUCAGACCUGUUCCAUUUUUUAACAAUCCACAGCAAAAAUAAACAAAAUUGUUGUCGGCUAGCCAAAAUUAAAGAAUAUUUUUAUUUUUGUAGAAACAAGGUCUUACUAUUUUGACCUGGCUGAUCUCAAACUCUUGGCCUCAAGUGAUCCUCCCACCUCAACCUCCCAAAAUGUUUGGAUUAUAGGCAUGAGCCACCGCAUGCAGCCAGAAUAAAUCGUAUUUAAGAGACUACAUUAUGCACCUUAGCUUACGCAUUUGUCUAUAGUUGAUGUGCUAUUGAGUCUUCUUUACCUAUGAAAAAGCAGGUCAAUCAAGAGUUAGCAAUUAGUUAAGGAGAAUGUAGUAAGGAGCUUCUGCUACAUAAUCACUGAGGAUGCAUCCUGGCCAGUCACUGUCUCAAAGAGUUCAGGUUCUUGGAGAAGACAAAAUGUGAGGCACAGGCCAAGUGCGGUGGCUCACGCCUGUAAUCCCAACACUUCGGGAGGCCGAGGCAGGUGGAUCACCUGAGGUCAGGAGAUCCAGACCAUUCUGGCCAACAUGAUGAAACCCCGUCUCUACUAAAAAUACAAAAAUUAGCUGGGCGUGGUGGCAGGCUCCUGUAAUUCCAGCUACUCGGGAGGCUGAGGCAGAGAAUGCUUGAACCCGGGAGGCAGAGGUUGCAGUGAGCCGAGAUGGCACCACUGCACUCCAGCCUGGGCGACAGGGUGAGACUCCGUCUCAAAAAAAGAGCAGCCUGCAGAGGUUUCCGUCAUAGUUUUUCCAGAGUUGUUCCAAAGGUCAGGUUACCAUACUACAGACCACCAUAUCCACGUACCACAAAUGCAUUUUUGGAAAGAUCUCUUUGUAAUCAUUUGCGAGAAACAGAAAGUAAUUCAAAAUGUAACAUGAUUAAAUGGCAGUCUUCUUCCAAUUUUGUCAAAAUUAUUUCCGUUCAGUCAUAGAAACCUAAGAACAUCAGCAAUACUCCUUAAUUCAGGGUAAAUGGUCAAAUACCUUUGCUCCCAAACCAGUAAUCUCUCUGGGACUGCUUGUAAUUUCCAAAAGCCCAAACACUUCAGCAUAAGGGAAAAAACAAAAAUUGAAAAUAAAAACCUAGUUAUUUAAAAUGUUUAAAUGCCCUAAGACUACAAAGGAUACAAUUCCUUAAUAUUAAUGGAAGAUAAGACUAGGCUUGGUGGUUCACGCCUAUAAUUCUAGCACUUUGGGAGACCAAGGCAGGCAGAUCACUUGAACUCAGGAGUUCAAGACCAGCCUGGGCAACACGACGAAACCCCGUCUAUGAAAAUACAAAAAUUAGCCAGAGUGGUGGCAUGCACCUGCAAUCCCACACUCAGGAGGCUAAGGUGGUAAGGUGGGGGGGGAUUGUUUGAGCCCACGAGGUGGAGGCUGCAGUGAGCCAAGAUUGUGCCACUGCACUCCAGCCUGGGCGACAGAGCGAGAACCUGUCUCAAAAUAAGUAAAUAAAUAAAAAUAAUGGAAGACAGAUAGUUCUGGAAUGCGAAAAAUCUGUAUUUCAGCAAUUCAGAUUUCUCCAUGGUUAGAAUAAUUCAGCUCAAGAACCAAAGUGCCUUAAGAGUGUUUAAUUCACAAAGGAUAACAGUCAUAUUCAUCCUACCCUCUAAAAGUGAGAAAAGCCUCUUUAAAAGACUGCUUACGUGGAAGGAGAAAGCAGUUUGAAAUUUAAGCCUAUUUACUAUUUUGUUGAUACUCUUAGUUUUUUUUUUAUCGUAAUUGUUAGCAAGGCCUGUAGCUUUAAAAUCCUAAAAAAAAAAAAAAAAAAAAAAAAAAAACUUGUCCAAUUACCUAAUCCAAGUUCACUUAACUAGUUACGAGAACUCUAUUUGAGUAACAAAACAAGUCUCUACAGGAGCAGAGCGAGAUGUGCACUCCUACUUAAAAGUACUGUCUGACGAAAAGUACUCUACUUCUCUGGAUAUAACAUGUUUAACGUGUAACCCUUUCUGUGGAGCUGAAGAAAAAGGUUUACUUAAAAUAAAUGCUCAAAGGAACUUUUCUAACCUCACUAUUCAUUUCUUAGACAGGUACAGUUUGCCCAAAACCCUCCCUUGAUCAAGCCCCCACUCAGAAAAGGUGCCUCCUUACACGCGACGUUACUUGGUUGCUAUUACACUUGGUUUGCAAGCCACAAAGGGACUCCUUUUGAGUGCAGAGGAUAAAGCAUAAGAAAAAGAGAGGAUCACCCUCUUCGAGUGAUUGAUCAAGUCAGGUUCUCACUUAGAGAUCCUGUUUAAACACAAGACGCUAAAACACACCCCCUUGCUCCGUGUCACAGGACUAGAUCUCUUGGGAUAAAUUAAGCGACGGGCUGAAAAUGUAGGAGCUGUAACUACACCAGCAGCUCCGCGUUCUUAUCAAAACAAUAGCGAGUGGCACAUGUCAGGCAGCCCACAUGCGCAGGGGGAUAAAGCGGCGCCUGGCUGAGUCUGGAGUUGAACUUGUCUUAACCCCCUCCCCCAACAACCUCCACCGCGCUUCCCGGCUAUGCGAAAGUGAAAACGAGGGGCGCCCAAGGCCCUGCUUCUUCCCCCUUCCUCUUCCCCUUGCCCAGCCGCGACUUCUUCCUCACUGAUCUCCCGGGGGCGGAGACGCUGAGUUCCCCGGAGACGAGUUAGUCACCAAGAAGAGGCGGUGACAGAGAGCGCGGCUCGCGUCGCACUCCGAGGCCUAGCAGCGCCGGACGGGAGGCCGCGGACGGAGGCUCUCGCGUCCCGCGCCCUCCACCCCUGGCCCGUAGGGACGCCCCCUCCUUCCCUUCUAGAGCGAGUCUCAACUCCGCUCCUCUCUCCCCUACCCCAGGCAGCUCCAACGUCAGACCCCACUCCCGACUGAGAAAACGAAGCCCAGCCCAGUCGUUUCCUGCCCACCGGGGCAGGAAUUCCCUUCCCCGGCCCAGGGACUGCGGCCCCACGUCGCUGACCCUAGCGGGGAUCCCCUCGGCCGCCGGGAGGGGAUCCCGGAACUGGCCCCGGAGUGCGCGUGUGGCCGCGGCGGGGAGGGGCGAGGCGGGGAGUUUCCGCCGCCCCGCGGCCAAGAGGGCGGGAGGGCGACAGCAGCGGCUAGGAGCGGUCCCCGAGGCCGGCCAGGGACCCAGCCUCCUCCGCCACUACCAACCCGCGUUCCCCACGCGCGCCGCCGCCAGUUGGCCCCGCGCGUUCUCCAGGUGGAGGCCAGGAGGCAGAGAACCGCGGGCCCGGGGGCCACCCGUCACUUUCAAGUCGCCCCGCCAGAAGCCCAGGGCGAGGAAAAGGAGAGAGACAAAAGAGCGCUGCGGGGGGAGUCCCCACACCCCCCGCGGCCCCGCACACGGCCCGGCUCUUACUCGUAGUGGCGGAAGAUCUCGUUGGUGACUUUACAGUAGAAAACUUCCUCGUCGGGCCGCAGGUCCGCGGGCGGCUUCUGUCUCACAAACGGCUUUCGGUGUAGCAGCGGCAUCUCCCGUCCGCCCGCGGGCUCGCCUGGACCCUCGGCCGCCCGCGCCGGCCCCGCUUCCCUAUCAAAAUUGGAGGGAAAGGAAAGCCGGUAAGGUGGGGAGCCCUCGGCGGCAGCGUGGGCCGGUCCGCGCGCUGGGAGAAGCUCGGCUGCCUUUUGUGUGACUGACGCGCCGCGGCCGCUACCGGAGCCGAGUUCGUUCCUGCCGCUGCCCGGGUGUCGAGCGAGCGGAGCCGCCGCCGCCCCUGCCCCCCGAGCGCGCCCUACCUCCUCUCGUCCUGCCGCCGCCUCACAAUGGGGCAGGACGCCCCGCCGCGGGGGGCAGUGCGGGAGCGGCGGCGGCCCCCUCCCCCAGCGCCGGCUCCUCGCCCGCCGCCGCCGCCAGGCUCACAACGUGCUCGGCGCGCAGCUGGCCGGCCGGCCAGCCCAACGCCGCCAGAGCGCUCGCCGCGGGCGGACCCCGGAGCUGCUCCGCUUUGUUCCCGGCUCGCCUCCACUUCCCCGCCGGCGCCGGCCGGCUCCCGAGCGACCCUCACCUGCGAUCACGCCGACUGCCACUUGUCCACCUUCUCCACUACAAAGGCAACGAGGGGAGACCCCGUCCUCCCAGGGGACCGCCUCUCUCCGGCCCCGCCGCGCCCCUGGCUGCCGCUUCUCCCGCUGCCACUGCCCGA